GUUGCAGGGUAUAGACCCGAAACCCGGUGAUCUAGCCAUGGGCAGGUUGAAGGUUGGGUAACACUAACUGGAGGACCGAACCGACUAAUGUUGAAAAAUUAGCGGAUGACUUGUGGCUGGGGGUGAAAGGCCAAUCAAACCGGGAGAUAGCUGGUUCUCCCCGAAAGCUAUUUAGGUAGCGCCUCGUGAAUUCAUCUCCGGGGGUAGAGCACUGUUUCGGCAAGGGGGUCAUCCCGACUUACCAACCCGAUGCAAACUGCGAAUACCGGAGAAUGUUAUCACGGGAGACACACGGCGGGUGCUAACGUCCGUCGUGAAGAGGGAAACAACCCAGACCGCCAGCUAAGGUCCCAAAGUCAUGGUUAAGUGGGAAACGAUGUGGGAAGGCCCAGACAGCCAGGAUGUUGGCUUAGAAGCAGCCAUCAUUUAAAGAAAGCGUAAUAGCUCACUGGUCGAGUCGGCCUGCGCGGAAGAUGUAACGGGGCUAAACCAUG
This 494-nucleotide ribosomal RNA is filed under the name Escherichia coli. RNAcentral's name for it is "partial 23S ribosomal RNA". It matches the Rfam family "Bacterial large subunit ribosomal RNA", at positions 699 to 1191 of the family's 2925-position model. The record is from RNAcentral. RNAcentral also lists the same sequence under 1 other name. Lineage: Bacteria; Pseudomonadati; Pseudomonadota; Gammaproteobacteria; Enterobacterales; Enterobacteriaceae.